AACGCAUAUUGCACUCUCUGGUAUUCCGGAGAGUAUGCCUGUUUCAGUAUCAGUAAACACCAUCAAACAAAAUCCUUAGUGUUUUUUGUUUGGAUUUGAGCGUUGCCGAGAAAAAACCAAAAAAUUUUUUAUUUCGGCCUGCUCGAAAUGCAAGUACACAGGAGGAACAAAAAGGGUGGGUGUGAAAUUAGAAAGCGUCGUAGUUGACUUUUUUUUGUCUUCUUUCGCUGAAAAAUGAAACACCAGAAAAACAACCUUUGUGGAUUCCGCUGUGCAAAUUCGCAGGUUUUUUCACUUCUUGAUCUGAAAUCAGGUAGGACUACCCGCUGAACUUAA
RNAcentral lists this unclassified non-coding RNA (336 nucleotides) under uncultured fungus. Its description in RNAcentral is "partial contains 5.8S ribosomal RNA, internal transcribed spacer 2, and large subunit ribosomal RNA". The record is from RNAcentral. Lineage: Eukaryota; Fungi.